GAUGAACGCUGGCGGCGUGCCUAAUACGUGCAAGUCGAGCGAACAGAUGAGGAGCUUGCUCCUCUGACGUUAGCGGCGGACGGGUGAGUAACACGUGGAUAACCUACCUAUAAGACUGGGAUAACUUCGGGAAACCGGAGCUAAUACCGGAUAAUAUAUUGAACCGCAUGGUUCAAUAGUGAAAGACGGUUUUGCUGUCACUUAUAGCUGGAUCCGCGCCGCAUUAGCUAGUUGGUAAGGUAACGGCUUACCAAGGCAACGAUGCGUAGCCGACCUGAGAGGGUGAUCGGCCACACUGGAACUGAGACACGGUCCAGACUCCUACGGGAGGCAGCAGUAGGGAAUCUUCCGCAAUGGGCGAAAGCCUGACGGAGCAACGCCGCGUGAGUGAUGAAGGUCUUCGGAUCGUAAAACUCUGUUAUUAGGGAAGAACAAAUGUGUAAGUAACUAUGCACGUCUUGACGGUACCUAAUCAGAAAGCCACGGCUAACUACGUG
This 497-nucleotide ribosomal RNA is filed under the name uncultured bacterium. RNAcentral describes it as "partial 16S ribosomal RNA". It matches the Rfam family "Bacterial small subunit ribosomal RNA", at positions 28 to 507 of the family's 1533-position model. The record is from RNAcentral.